GAGGAUAUAGCUCAGUGGUAGAGUGCAUGCUCUGCGUGUACGAGGUCCUGGGUUCAAUCCCUGGUACCUCCA
Transfer RNA from Camelus ferus (Wild Bactrian camel), 72 nucleotides. It matches the Rfam family "tRNA". Rfam says of the family: Transfer RNA (tRNA) molecules are approximately 80 nucleotides in length. Their secondary structure includes four short double-helical elements and three loops (D, anti-codon, and T loops). Lineage: Eukaryota; Metazoa; Chordata; Mammalia; Artiodactyla; Camelidae. The record is from Rfam.